This 564-nucleotide ribosomal RNA is filed under the name Talaromyces amestolkiae. RNAcentral describes it as "eukaryotic LSU rRNA". The stretch from base 202 to 355 matches the Rfam family "5.8S ribosomal RNA". Lineage: Eukaryota; Fungi; Ascomycota; Eurotiomycetes; Eurotiales; Trichocomaceae. The record is from RNAcentral.
GGUAACCUGCGGAAGGAUCAUUACCGAGUGCGGGCCCUCGUGGCCCAACCUCCCACCCUUGUCUCUAUACACCUGUUGCUUUGGCGGGCCCACCGGGGCCACCUGGUCGCCGGGGGACAUCUGUCCCCGGGCCCGCGCCCGCCGAAGCGCUCUGUGAACCCUGAUGAAGAUGGGCUGUCUGAGUACUAUGAAAAUUGUCAAAACUUUCAACAAUGGAUCUCUUGGUUCCGGCAUCGAUGAAGAACGCAGCGAAAUGCGAUAAGUAAUGUGAAUUGCAGAAUUCCGUGAAUCAUCGAAUCUUUGAACGCACAUUGCGCCCCCUGGCAUUCCGGGGGGCAUGCCUGUCCGAGCGUCAUUUCUGCCCUCAAGCACGGCUUGUGUGUUGGGUGCGGUCCCCCCGGGGACCUGCCCGAAAGGCAGCGGCGACGUCCGUCUGGUCCUCGAGCGUAUGGUUCUUUGUCACUCGCUCGGGAAGGACUGGCGGGGGUUGGUCACCACCAAAAUUUUACCACGGUUGACCUCGGAUCAGGUAGGAGUUACCCGCUGAACUUAAGCAUAUCAAUA